RNAcentral lists this signal recognition particle RNA (99 nucleotides) under Chloroflexota bacterium. Its description in RNAcentral is "Chloroflexi bacterium signal recognition particle sRNA small type". It matches the Rfam family "Bacterial small signal recognition particle RNA". From Rfam's summary of the family: The signal recognition particle (SRP) is a universally conserved ribonucleoprotein involved in the co-translational targeting of proteins to membranes. Archaeal SRP consists of a 7S RNA and homologues of the eukaryotic SRP19 and SRP54 proteins. Lineage: Bacteria; Bacillati; Chloroflexota. RNAcentral also lists the same sequence under 1 other name. The record is from RNAcentral.
AAUCGGGUCCCUAGCGGCGAAGGUCGCUGAACCGUGUCAGGUCCGGAAGGAAGCAGCACUAAGGCGAUCCCUUCGGGUGACUAGGAUCAUCUGGUUGAC